Molecule: non-coding RNA, 357 nt
Organism: Vicia faba (fava bean)
Lineage: Eukaryota; Viridiplantae; Streptophyta; Magnoliopsida; Fabales; Fabaceae
Source: the annotation of a GenBank genome assembly
AACCACCUGCUAUCUCACCAAAACUCAACCACUUCGUUUCUUCUCCCUCAAUUUAAUCCGCUAACACCCUUCUCCUCACCACACACUCCACAUCCGUUAACACUUCCACCAUACAGUAAAUCCUUAUACUUCCACCAUCUUCCUCCGACCAUCCGGAAACUCCUCACCAUCUCUGAAUCCGCCGGUAGCUCCAACCGUUUCACCGCACCACCAUCAAAGGCUACAAAGUUUGAGUUCUCAUUCUUUUUUAAUUUAUUUUUUCUUCUAUUUUUAAGAGACAUGUGCCAGUUACCAUUCUAUUAUCUAUGCUUGUUCUUCUUAUCUAGAAUUGGAAAUUGGUUUGUAGAAGCAAAGUAG